This 468-nucleotide ribosomal RNA is filed under the name uncultured bacterium. Its description in RNAcentral is "partial 16S ribosomal RNA". It matches the Rfam family "Bacterial small subunit ribosomal RNA", at positions 28 to 507 of the family's 1533-position model. The record is from RNAcentral.
GACGAACGCUGGCGGCGUGCUUAACACAUGCAAGUCGAACGGAAGGGCCCUGCUUUUGUGGGGUGCUCGAGUGGCGAACGGGUGAGUAACACGUGAGUAACCUGCCCUUGACUUUGGGAUAACUUCAGGAAACUGGGGCUAAUACCGGAUAGGAGCUCCUGCUGCAUGGUGGGGGUUGGAAAGUUUCGGCGGUUGGGGAUGGACUCGCGGCUUAUCAGCUUGUUGGUGGGGUAGUGGCUUACCAAGGCUUUGACGGGUAGCCGGCCUGAGAGGGUGACCGGCCACAUUGGGACUGAGAUACGGCCCAGACUCCUACGGGAGGCAGCAGUGGGGAAUAUUGCACAAUGGGCGGAAGCCUGGUGCAGCAACGCCGCGUGCGGGAUGACGGCCUUCGGGUUGUAAACCGCUUUCGCCUGUGACGAAGCGUGAGUGACGGUAAUGGGUAAAGAAGCACCGGCUAACUACGUG